RNAcentral lists this ribosomal RNA (530 nucleotides) under uncultured haloarchaeon. RNAcentral's name for it is "bacterial SSU rRNA". It matches the Rfam family "Archaeal small subunit ribosomal RNA", at positions 1 to 526 of the family's 1478-position model. Lineage: Archaea; Methanobacteriati; Methanobacteriota; Halobacteria; Halobacteriales; Halobacteriaceae. The record is from RNAcentral.
AUUCCCGGUUGAUCCUGCCGGAGGCCAUUGCUAUCGGAAUCCGAUUUAGCCAUGCUAGUCGCACGGGUUUAGACCCGUGGCGAACAGCUCAGUAACACGUGGCCAAACUGCCCUGUGGACGGGGAUAAUCUCGGGAAACUGAGGCUAAUCCCCGAUAGGGCUUCCAUCCUGGAGUGGAGGAAGUCCAAAAGUCUGCGCUGCGGCACCACAGGAUGUGGCUGCGGCCGAUUAGGUAGACGGUGGGGUAACGGCCCACCGUGCCAGUAAUCGGUACGGGUGAUGAGAGUCAGAGCCCGGAGACGGUAUCUGAGACAAGAUACCGGGCCCUACGGGGCGCAGCAGGCGCGAAACCUUUACACUGCACGACAGUGCGAUAGGGGGAUUCCGAGUGCGAGGGCAUACAGUCCUCGCUUUUCUGGACCGUAAGGAGGUCCAAGAAUAAGGGCUGGGCAAGACCGGUGCCAGCCGCCGCGGUAAUACCGGCAGCCCGAGUGAUGGCCGAUAUUAUUGGGCCUAAAGCGUCCGUAGCU